RNAcentral lists this ribosomal RNA (439 nucleotides) under uncultured bacterium. RNAcentral's name for it is "bacterial SSU rRNA". It matches the Rfam family "Bacterial small subunit ribosomal RNA", at positions 335 to 769 of the family's 1533-position model. The record is from RNAcentral.
ACUCCUACGGGAGGCAGCAGUGGGGAAUAUUGCACAAUGGGCGCAAGCCUGAUGCAGCCAUGCCGCGUGUGUGAAGAAGGCCUUCGGGUUGUAAAGCACUUUCAGUUGUGAGGAAGGUGGUGUCGUUAAUAGCGGCAUCAUUUGACGUUAGCAACAGAAGAAGCACCGGCUAACUCCGUGCCAGCAGCCGCGGUAAUACGGAGGGUGCGAGCGUUAAUCGGAAUUACUGGGCGUAAAGCGCAUGCAGGUGGUUUGUUAAGUCAGAUGUGAAAGCCCGGGGCUCAACCUCGGAACUGCAUUUGAAACUGGCAGACUAGAGUACUGUAGAGGGGGUAGAAUUUCAGGUGUAGCGGUGAAAUGCGUAGAGAUCUGAAGGAAUACCGGUGGCGAAGGCGGCCCCUGGACAGAUACUGACACUCAGAUGCGAAAGCGUGGGAGC